Molecule: ribosomal RNA, 591 nt
Filed under: Triticum aestivum (bread wheat)
Lineage: Eukaryota; Viridiplantae; Streptophyta; Magnoliopsida; Poales; Poaceae
Description: partial small subunit ribosomal RNA
Source: RNAcentral
AUGGAUCUCUCAGCCGUCCACGCCGCGCUCUCCGCCAAGUCCUACUCCGCCAUCGCCGGCCUCUGCGACGACCUCCUCCUCCAGGUUGCGUCCCGGGGCGUCGCCACCGACGACUGGCCUUACGCUGUUCAUCUCCUCGCCCAUCUCUACCUCAACGACCAGAACAGCGCGAGGUUUUUGUGGAAAACGGUGCCGCAGGAGGUGAAGGACGCUCAUCCGGAGCUGGGCGCCAUCUGGAAGAUUGGCCAGUGCCUCUGGAACCGUGACUACGCUGGUAUCUAUACUUCCGCACAGGGGUUCGAGUGGGGGCCUGAAAUCGCGGAUUUUGUGUCCGCCUUCCUAGAAAGCUACAGAAAGAGGAUAUUUGAGCUGUUGACUUCUGCAUAUACCACAAUCAGCAUUGCAGAUGUGGCUCACUUCAUGGGGAUGAGCGAGGAGGAUGCUACUAACUAUGCCGUGCAAAACGGUUGGAGUCUGGAUGUGGCAACCAAGAUGCUUACUGUCAGAAAACAGAAGCCCCAGACGAACCAGAAGCUUGAUCCGAACAAACUACAGCGUUUGACUGAAUGUGUUUUCCACCUGGAGCACUGA